GAUGAAGAACUCAGCGAAAUGCGAUAAGUAAUGUGAAUUGCAGAAUUCAGUGAAUCAUCGAAUCUUUGAACGCACCUUGCGCCUUUUGGUAUUCCGAAAGGCACACCUGUUUGAGCGCCAUGAAUACCUCAAUCUCCAUCUUUUCUUCGGAUUGAUGGGUGACUUGGAUGUUGAGCCCUGCUGGUAUGCUAUAUCAGCUGGCUUUAAACUUAUUAGCCGGCUCUGUACUGGAUCGGUUUGACUCGACGUGAUAAUAUUAUCGUUGAGGAUGCAUGUCUCAUGCAGCCGGAAAGUAUCAAAGCAGCUUCUAGCUUGCCUUUAGUGCACUUUUACAUUUUAGACCUCAGAUCAGGUGGGACUACCCGCUGAACUUAAGCAUAUCAAUAAGCGGAGGA
RNAcentral lists this unclassified non-coding RNA (395 nucleotides) under soil metagenome. RNAcentral's name for it is "partial contains 5.8S ribosomal RNA, internal transcribed spacer 2, and large subunit ribosomal RNA". The stretch from base 1 to 120 matches the Rfam family "5.8S ribosomal RNA", at positions 35 to 154 of the family's 154-position model. The record is from RNAcentral.